Molecule: non-coding RNA, 196 nt
Organism: Phaseolus vulgaris (common bean)
Lineage: Eukaryota; Viridiplantae; Streptophyta; Magnoliopsida; Fabales; Fabaceae
Source: Rfam
AUACCUUUCUCGGCCUUUUGGCUAAGAUCAAGUGUAGUAUCUGUUCUUAUCAGUUUAAUAUCUGAUAUGUGGAUCAUUGAUUCACACGAUAUUAAAUUUAUUUUUUAAGGGAAAGUGUCCAUUACAAUAGCUUGCUAUUCGGACUCUUAGGCAUUGCUCUUGUUUUGCACUACUGCAAGAGUCUGAUGCAUCCCAC